AGAAUCAACGCUGGCGGCGUGCCUAACACAUGCAAGUCGCACGAGAAAGGGACUUCGGUCCUGAGUACAGUGGCGCACGGGUGAGUAACACGUGAAUCAUCUACCUCCGAGUGGGGAAUAACCUAGAGAAAUCUGGGCUAAUACCGCAUAACACUUACGAGUCAAAGCAGCAAUGCGCUUGGAGAGGAGUUCGCGGCAGAUUAGUUAGUUGGCGGGGUAAUGGCCCACCAAGACGAUGAUCUGUAUCCGGCCUGAGAGGGCGCACGGACACACUGGAACUGAAACACGGUCCAGACUCCUACGGGAGGCAGCAGUGGGGAAUUUUGCGCAAUGGGGGAAACCCUGACGCAGCAACGCCGCGUGGAGGAUGAAAUAUCUUGGUAUGUAAACUCCUUUCGAUGGGGAAGAUAAUGACGGUACCCAUAGAAGAAGCCCGGCUAACUUCGCGCCAGCAGCCGC
RNAcentral lists this ribosomal RNA (459 nucleotides) under uncultured bacterium. RNAcentral's name for it is "SSU rRNA". It matches the Rfam family "Bacterial small subunit ribosomal RNA", at positions 26 to 518 of the family's 1533-position model. The record is from RNAcentral.